UGUGUGUGUUUUUAAAUAGAGUUAAAAUAGAGUUAAUGCAAUAUUAAUUGGCUGUAGAUGUUAUAAGAAUGCACAGCCCCAUUUUCAGGAACAAAUCGAUGAGAUAGGGAUGCGAGAGAGGGAAGAUGAAGGCUUUUCCCAAUCUAGGUCACUUCUUUGCGGAGAGGCCUUCUCAGAGCUUUGGGAAGGGAUGCUAUCCCUGAAACUGCAGCCAGAUGCAGCUCCAAGCAAUCCCAGUGUUACAUAUGAUAUUUCCCCCCGCUGGCUGAUGGCAAGUAGAUGUGAUAAAGCAGAAACUGGACACAGG
This 307-nucleotide long non-coding RNA is filed under the name Homo sapiens (human). RNAcentral's name for it is "HSALNT0079055". Lineage: Eukaryota; Metazoa; Chordata; Mammalia; Primates; Hominidae. The record is from RNAcentral.